GACGAACGCUGGCGGCGUGCUUAACACAUGCAAGUCGAACGGAAAGGCCCUGCUUUUGUGGGGUGCUCGAGUGGCGAACGGGUGAGUAACACGUGAGUAACCUGCCCUUGACUUUGGGAUAACUUCAGGAAACUGGGGCUAAUACCGGAUAGGAGCUCCUGCUGCAUGGUGGGGGUUGGAAAGUUUCGGCGGUUGGGGAUGGACUCGCGGCUUAUCAGCUUGUUGGUGGGGUAGUGGCUUACCAAGGCUUUGACGGGUAGCCGGCCUGAGAGGGUGACCGGCCACAUUGGGACUGAGAUACGGCCCAGACUCCUACGGGAGGCAGCAGUGGGGAAUAUUGCACAAUGGGCGGAAGCCUGAUGCAGCAACGCCGCGUGCGGGAUGACGGCCUUCGGGCUGUAAACCGCUUUCGCCUGUGGCGAAGCGUGAGUGACGGUAAUGGGUAAAGAAGCACCGGCUAACUACGUG
Molecule: ribosomal RNA, 468 nt
Filed under: uncultured bacterium
Lineage: Bacteria
Description: partial 16S ribosomal RNA
Rfam family: Bacterial small subunit ribosomal RNA
Source: RNAcentral